Molecule: ribosomal RNA, 465 nt
Filed under: uncultured bacterium
Lineage: Bacteria
Description: partial 16S ribosomal RNA
Rfam family: Bacterial small subunit ribosomal RNA
Source: RNAcentral
GACGAACGCUGGCGGCGUGCUUAACACAUGCAAGUCGAACGGAAAGGCCCUGCUUGCAGGGUACUCGAGUGGCGAACGGGUGAGUAACACGUGGGUGAUCUGCCCUGCACUUCGGGAUAAGCCUGGGAAACUGGGUCUAAUACCGGAUAGGAGCCAUCUUUAGUGUGAUGGUUGGAAAGUUUUUUCGGUGUAGGAUGAGCUCGCGGCCUAUCAGCUUGUUGGUGGGGUAAUGGCCUACCAAGGCGGCGACGGGUAGCCGGCCUGAGAGGGUGGACGGCCACAUUGGGACUGAGAUACGGCCCAGACUCCUACGGGGGGCAGCAGUGGGGAAUAUUGCACAAUGGGCGCAAGCCUGAUGCAGCGACGCCGCGUGGGGGAUGACGGGCUUCGGGUUGUAAACUCCUUUCGGUAGGGACGAAGCUUUUUGUGACGGUACCUAGAUAAGAAGCACCGGCUAACUACGUG